UGUGGUUUAAUUCGAUGACAACGCGAAGAACCUUACCUGGUCUUGACAUCCCGGAGACCCUUAGGAAACUAGGGGGUGCUUCCAUCUGGAAGAAUCUGGAGACAGGUGCUGCAUGGCUGUCGUCAGCUCGUGUCGUGAGAUGUUGGGUUAAGUCCCGCAACGAGCGCAACCCUGCCUUUAGUUGCCAGCAGUUCGGCUGGGCACUCUAAAGGGACUGCCGGUGUUAAACCGGAGGAAGGUGGGGAUGACGUCAAGUCCUCAUGGCCUUUAUGACCAGGGCUACACACGUACUACAAUGGCCGAUACAAAGGGCAGCGACACUGCGAGGUGAAGCCAAUCCCGUAAAAUCGGUCUCAGUCCGGAUUGGAGUCUGCAACUCGACUCCAUGAAGUUGGAAUCGCUAGUAAUCGUGGAUCAGCAUGCCACGGUGAAUACGUUCCCGGGCUU
This 447-nucleotide ribosomal RNA is filed under the name uncultured Desulfobulbus sp. RNAcentral describes it as "bacterial SSU rRNA". It matches the Rfam family "Bacterial small subunit ribosomal RNA", at positions 940 to 1381 of the family's 1533-position model. The record is from RNAcentral. Lineage: Bacteria; Pseudomonadati; Thermodesulfobacteriota; Desulfobulbia; Desulfobulbales; Desulfobulbaceae.